AACGAACGCUGGCGGCAUGCCUAACACAUGCAAGUCGAACGAGACCUUCGGGUCUAGUGGCGCACGGGUGCGUAACGCGUGGGAACCUGCCCUUAGGUUCGGAAUAACUCCCCGAAAGGGGUGCUAAUACCGGAUAAUGUCUUCGGACCAAAGAUUUAUCGCCUUUGGAUGGGCCCGCGUUGGAUUAGCUGGGUGGUAGGGUAAAAGCCUACCAAGGCGACGAUCCAUAGCUGGUCUGAGAGGAUGAUCAGCCACACUGGGACUGAGACACGGCCCAGACUCCUACGGGAGGCAGCAGUGGGGAAUAUUGGACGAUGGGCGAAGGCCUGAUCCAGCAAUGCCGCGUGAGUGAUGAAGGCCUUAGGGUUGUACAGCUCUUUUACCCGGGAUGAUAAUGACGGUACCGGGAGAAUAAGCUCCGGCUAACUCCGUG
RNAcentral lists this ribosomal RNA (433 nucleotides) under uncultured bacterium. RNAcentral describes it as "partial 16S ribosomal RNA". It matches the Rfam family "Bacterial small subunit ribosomal RNA", at positions 29 to 507 of the family's 1533-position model. The record is from RNAcentral.